This 783-nucleotide ribosomal RNA is filed under the name uncultured bacterium. Its description in RNAcentral is "partial 16S ribosomal RNA". The record is from RNAcentral.
AAGUAUACUUGCUGACGUCUGGCAUUCAUCGUUUACGGUGUGGACUACCAGGGUAUCUAAUCCUGUUUGCUCCCCACACUUUCGCACCUCAGCGUCAGUUUCGAGCCAGUAAGCCGCCUUCGCCACUGGUGUUCCUCCAAAUAUCUACGAAUUUCACCUCUACACUUGGAAUUCCACUUACCUCUCUCGAACUCAAGACUAGCAGUAUUAAAGGCAGUUCCAGGGUUGAGCCCUGGGAUUUCACCCUUAACUUACUAAUCCGCCUACGUGCGCUUUACGCCCAGUAAUUCCGAACAACGCUAACCCCCUCCGUAUUACCGCGGCUGCUGGCACGGAGUUAGCCGGGGUUUCUUUACCAGAUACUGUCAUUAUCAUCUCUGGCGAAAGUGCUUUACGACCCUAAGGCCUUCAUCACACACGCGGCAUGGCUAGAUCAGGGUUUCCCCCAUUGUCUAAGAUUCCCUACUGCUGCCUCCCGUAGGAGUCUGGGCCGUGUCUCAGUCCCAGUGUGGCUGAUCAUCCUCUCAAACCAGCUAUAGAUCGUAGGCUUGGUAGGCCAUUACCCCACCAACUACCUAAUCUAACGCGGGCUAAUCCUUCUCCGAUAAAUCUUUCCCCCGAAGGGCGUAUAAGGUAUUACUCUCAGUUUCCCGAGGCUAUUCCUUAGAGAAGGGCAUAUUCCCACGCGUUACUCACCCGUCCGCCGCUCACCCCGAAGGGCGCGCUCGACUUGCAUGUAUUAGGCCUGCCGCCAGCGUUCGUUCUGAGCCAGGAUCAAACUCU